This 1494-nucleotide long non-coding RNA is filed under the name Mytilus galloprovincialis (Mediterranean mussel). Lineage: Eukaryota; Metazoa; Mollusca; Bivalvia; Mytilida; Mytilidae. The record is from RNAcentral.
UUGGUGCCGUAUAUGGAGGUGGGGGAGGCAUUUCUGCAUGAUCCCUUGAAGAUGGAAUAUAAAGUUCUGGCUUAUAGGUUGGAGAAACAAAAGUUUCUGGAUUAAAGGGAGUACAUAUAUAAAGAAAUAAAUAAAUUAAAGAGUUUAUUGGAUUGCGACCAAAAAUGUACAGUUUAUUAUAUAUGAUGACAACACAGAACAGGAAAAGAAAACUGCCAAAGGAAUAAAAAAAUGUGCCGUCAAAAAAAUGUUAAAACAUGCCAAUUAUAAAGAAUGCUUAUUUCAAAAAGCAUCAACAAUGAAUUCAAUGAAAUUGAUAAAAAGUCAAAAUCAUGAACUCUUUGUCAACCAUAUUGUUAAAAAAGGAUUAUCGAAUUUUGAUGAGAAGAGAUUUUGGACUAAUCAUAUUAAGAGUUAUGCUUAUGGACAUUUCAAAAUACGAUUAAACUUUGUAUGUUUUAUUUUAUAAUUUAGUAUGUUAUUUUAUUGUAAAUACAAUUUUAUGAAGUUUUCUUAAAAUUUUUAAUGGAACGCCUGAAACAAACUCCUCAUACAAAGAGUACAAUCAUUUGCUUAUAUCAUUCAAUAGGCUAAUAAGAUCACCAGGAUAAGAAUCUUCUGCUUUUCUUUAUUUUUGUGCCGUAUAUGAAGGUGGGGGAGGCAUUUCUGCUGAUCCCCUUGAAGAUGGAAUAUAACGUUCUGGCUUAUAGGUUGGAGAAACAAAAGGUUCUGGAUUAAAGGUUGUAGAUCCAUUAGCUUCAGUUGGGUUACUGGUUGUUUUAUUCUCCUCCUAAAAUAUUUGUUUUAUUUUUUUUUUCAUUUUUUUUAUAUUCUUUAAGUGAAAGUUAGUUCUUCGAAAAUAAAUGUGCUUGGUAGAACAACUUUCAAGUCUGCUAAGUUAUAUAAUAAGAUCAACAUUUAAAAAAUACCCACCCCUCCCCUCUUAGCUGUAAGACAGCAUUUACAUAUUAUAAAAAAUAUUUUUUAUUAAUUAUUAAAUAAAAAUCCAAAAUUUCUUAACUUUAUUUUAAAAAAAAAUCAUUUUCUCACUAGUCAAUCACACCACAUAUUUUUUUUUAUAAGUUUUAUAUAUUAAAAUAUUUUCUCACUGGACAAUCAUACCACAUAUUUAAUAAUGUAAAUAGACUUACUUUAAAAAAAUUCCUCAGCAUUUCCAGCUGACUAACCAGUUCGCUAAAUUGGACUGCUUCCUCGAAUGCGAGGGACAAUCUACCAUAGAAAUUUGGUCGAUUGUCGUAUAUGUUAACAAAGAAAUUCCCCAUAGCGGAUUGUUGCAAAACAACAUUUUUUGGUUUCCAAAUCGGUGAGAAAACUCUUUUUUUCCAUUUCUGGACUUCUCCAAAAAGACAAAUCUGGAUCCAUUUUGUGAAGACAUGAUGAGUGUAAAUGUAGAAAUUAAAAAAAAAAUUGAGAAAAUCUUUAUAUAUGUACUCUCUGUAAGAUGCAAUGAAACCAACCCCUUGUCCAAAAAAA